CCUACGGGAGGCAGCAGUGAGGAAUAUUGGUCAAUGGGCGGAAGCCUGAACCAGCCAAGUCGCGUGAGGGAAUAAGGCCCUACGGGUCGUAAACCUCUUUUGCCGGGGAGCAAGGGCCGGGACGUGUCCCGGCCCGGAGAUUACCCGUAGAAAAAGCAUCGGAUAACUCCGUGCCAGCAGCCGCGUUAAUACGGAGGAUGCGAGCGUUAGCCGGAUUUAUUGGGUUUAAGGGGUGCGUAGGCGGGCUUUAAAGUCAGCGGUAAAAACUCGGGGCUCAAACCCGUCCGGCCGUUGAAACUGGGGGCCUUGAGUGGGCGAGAAGAAGGCGGAAUGCGUGGUGUAGCGGUGAAAUGCAUAGAUAUCACGAAGAACCCCGAUUGCGAAGGCAGCAUUCCGGAGCCCUACUGACGCUGAGGCACGAAGGUGCAGGGAUCGAACAGGAUUAGAUACCCGGGUAGUC
This 460-nucleotide ribosomal RNA is filed under the name uncultured bacterium. Its description in RNAcentral is "partial 16S ribosomal RNA". It matches the Rfam family "Bacterial small subunit ribosomal RNA", at positions 338 to 795 of the family's 1533-position model. The record is from RNAcentral.